UAGGGAAUCUUCCGCAAUGGGCGAAAGCCUGACGGAGCAACGCCGCGUGAGUGAUGAAGGUCUUCGGAUCGUAAAACUCUGUUAUUAGGGAAGAACAAAUGUGUAAGUAACUAUGCACGUCUUGACGGUACCUAAUCAGAAAGCCACGGCUAACUACGUGCCAGCAGCCGCGGUAAUACGUAGGUGGCAAGCGUUAUCCGGAAUUAUUGGGCGUAAAGCGCGCGUAGGCGGUUUUUUAAGUCUGAUGUGAAAGCCCACGGCUCAACCGUGGAGGGUCAGUGGAAACUGGAAAACUUGAGUGCAGAAGAGGAAAGUGGAAUUCCAUGUGUAGCAGUGAAAUGCGCAGAGAUAUGGAGGAACACCAGUGGCGAAGGCGACUUUCUGGUCUGUAACUGACGCUGAUGUGCGAAAGCGUGGGGAUCAAACAGG
Molecule: ribosomal RNA, 429 nt
Filed under: Actinomycetes bacterium
Lineage: Bacteria; Bacillati; Actinomycetota; Actinomycetes
Description: Actinobacteria bacterium partial 16S ribosomal RNA
Rfam family: Bacterial small subunit ribosomal RNA
Source: RNAcentral